This 444-nucleotide ribosomal RNA is filed under the name uncultured bacterium. RNAcentral's name for it is "SSU rRNA". It matches the Rfam family "Bacterial small subunit ribosomal RNA", at positions 26 to 518 of the family's 1533-position model. The record is from RNAcentral.
AGAGCGAACGCUGGCGGCAGGCCUAACACAUGCAAGUCGAGCGCCCCGCAAGGGGAGCGGCAGACGGGAGAGUAACACGUGGGAACGUACCCUUUGGUUCGGAACAACCCAGGGAAACUUGGGCUAAUACCGAAUAAAGCCCUUACGGGGAAAGAUUUAUCGCCGAAGGAUCGGCCCGCGUCUGAUUAGCUAGUUGGUGGGGUAACGGCCACCAAGGCGACGAUCAGUAGCUGGUCUGAGAGGAUGAUCAGCCUCAUUGGGACUGAGACACGGCCCAAACUCCUACGGGAGGCAGCAGUGGGGAAUAUUGGACAAUGGGCGCAAGCCUGAUCCAGCCAUGCCGCGUGGGUGAUGAAGGCCCUAGGGUUGUAAAGCCCUUUCGGCGGGGAAGAUAAUGACGGUACCCGCAGAAGAAGCCCCGGCUAACUUCGCGCCAGCAGCCGC